ACCAAGGUCCGUCUGCAAGGGCGGCCUUGUGCCUGGCAAUGUCGGGCUUGUAAAGAUGACCUAGACCUUGUGUUGGACCCUGGCAGCAUGUCUGGGCUUUGCAGCACCACAUACAAUAGCCAAGACAUGGAAACCACCUAAAUGUCUAUCGACAGAGGAGUGGAUAAAGAAGAUGUGGUACAUAUACACAAAGGAAUAUUACUCAGCCAUUAAAAAGAAAGAAAUAACAGCAUUUUUAGCAACAUGGAUGGACCUAGAAAUUAUCAUGCUAAGUGAAGUCAGUCGAAAAUGAGACACCAACAUCAAAUGCUAUCACUUACCUGUGGAAUCUGAAGAAAGGACACAAUGAACUUCUUUGCAGCACAGAUCUCCAGAACUUUCUCGCCUUGCAACACUGCAACCCUACAUCCUUGGAACAGCAGAGCUCACUACCCCUCCUCCCAGCAUCUGGAAACCACUGUUCUGCUUUGUCUUUGUGGAUGUGACAACGCCAGGGCGUUCCCGUCAUGGCUCAGUGGAAACGAAGCUGACUCGUGUCUGUGAAGAUGCAGGUUCAAUCCCUGGCCUCACUCAGUGGGUUAAGGAUCUGGCGUUGCCAUGGGCUGUGGUGUAGGUUGCAGACAAGACUCAGAUCCUGCAUUGCUGUGGCUGUGGUGUGGGCUGGCAGCUGUGGCUCCGACUUGACCCCGAGCCUGGGAAUCACCAUGUGCCGUGGGCGUGACCUUAAAAAGACAAAAACAAAAACAACAAAAAAAACCCCAACCUUUUAUUGACGUAUGGUUGAUUUACAAGGUGGUGAUACUUUCUGUUAUACAACGAAGUGAGUCAGUUACACACAGACACACAUCUGUUCUUUUUCAGAUUCUUUUCCCAUGUAGAUUAGCCCAGAAUGUUGGGUAGCGGUCCCUGGGCUGUACAGCAGGGGGUAGUUCUGCUUGAUUUCUGAGACUUCCGCACCAUUUCCCACCGAAGCUGCACUGAUUCGCAGUCCCAUCAACCCUGAAAAUCCUUGAUUACAGCGCUUAUCACAGUAGCAGCUCUGUUUCCUUGGCCGCUUCUGUCACUCUUUGCUGAGCUUCUUAAGGCAUGAAUUUGGACUUUUUUUUAGCUUGUAUUCCCAGAGCCUAGCAUAGAACCUGCUCUUAACAGGCACUAAAAAAAAUUUUUUUUUGAUGUCCACACCCCAGAGCUUGUAGAGGUUCGGAUCAAGGGUUCAAUCUCAGACGCAGCUAUGACCUACACCACAGCUGUGGCCACACAGGAUCUUUUUAAGCCACUGUGCCGGACUGGUUAUUGAACCCGAGCCACCACAGGGACAAUGCCUGAUCCCUAACCCUCUGUUGCCCCUGCGGGAACUCCAAUCGGCACUAAAAUGUUCUACUUUUUUUCUUUUUUUGCGUUUUAGGGCCGCACGCAUGGCAUAUGGAGGUUCCUGGGCUAGGGGUCUAAUCAGAGCUACAGCUGCUGGCCUACACCACAGCCACAGCAACUUGGGACCCAAGCUGCAUCUGCGACCUACAUCACAGCUCACAGCAAUGCUGGAUGCUUAACCCACUGAUCAAGGCCAGGGAUGGAACUGACAACCUCAUGGUUCCUAGUUGGAUUCAUUUCCGCUAAGCCAUGAUGGGAACUCUGGUACUAAAACAUUUUUUGAAUAAAGACCAAUGAAAAACCCAACUCCUGUCUCACCAAGGCUCGUUACCACCAAGUCUCACCAAGGCUCGAUCACUUGAGAAAUACCUUUCCAGAAUGCCCAGCGUGGCGGAGUUGGUACCCCUUGUCCGGCCCUGAGGGCUGGCCAGGCGUUUUGUGCCCCGUGUGUCUCUGGGGAGGUAGCAUGCAGCCACCCCAGGGCAGGCUCUGUCCUUGCACUUUUCACAUCCCUGAUGCCUCCCCUAGAGCACAAACCCCACGGCCACUUUUCUGCCUCUGAGCUCUUCGAAGGGGAGAUGGAGUCUUAGCUCGUUGUUUGAUGUAGUGCCUGGCCUAUCACAGAUGUUCCAUGCAGUUGUGUUUGUUGAACAAAUAGUAGACUCUAGAGACCCGGGGGACCCCCCCAAGGUCAUUUUCAUCGGCGAAGUCCACCCCUGUGUUUCCACGUGGUGUCCUCUCGCCAUUCCUAUCGAAGGCUUAUCAGCACAGGCUGACUCGACAUGGCCUUUCCAGAAAGCCACUCACCAGUCUCCCCUGGGCCCAGAACAUCUCUGAAACUAGCAGCACGUGAAGCGUCACACCUCAAAACAGCUUUCUGUGCUGUUUCAUCAUGAAUGGCCGCCCAGAAGCCCACCUGUCAGCAGAGCCAGUCUGGUGAUGCAGCGUGGAAGUCAGGGGUCGUGGACAAUGGGAUCUGAUUCCCUCCUGGACCUGAGUUCUAGAUUCUCUUUUGGAUUUGGGUUCUGGAAGCCCUGGCGUCUUGAAAGGAUUAUGCCAUAGGCAGUAGAGAAGCUGUUGCCUUUGAGAGAAGGGUAAUCACUCCAGAGGGACAGGUCUCUGGGUCCCAUGGAUUGGGGCGGGGGGGGACCCUGCUGUCUCCCUCUGCUGACAUCUGGAAAGGCGGGAAGACCCUGAGGGGCAUGGCUGUGCGAUGCACCAAGGAGGCUUGGCCCUGGCACCUGAAGCUGCUGUCUUGCUGCAGGUUCCUGAGUCCAGCUUGGCAUGGAAGCCACAGGCUGCCAGACUUCAGUGGGCUGGUUGGGGGAGGGGGGUGUGAACAGGACGUGAGGUUUUGCCCCAUGUGCCUUUUUAUAACCCCAGAGAAAGUGUUGCGUAGGCAGGCGCAUCUACAGUUGGACUCUUCACUAUCUCAGAGACUUGGACUUGACUUUGAGUUAAGGACAUCAUCUGAUGGGAUGACUCAUGGUCACCUGGAUUUCAGGACCCAGAUGGAUUCCUGGCACAUACGUGAGGCAUCUGGCACGGUGCCCGGAUGUUUAAGGACUCGAUAAAGGAAUUUUCUUUCACUUAUUCUUGUAGGUAAUAAUCCCUGCCUACUCUCUGAUUGUUGGAAAUACAUUGUU
Molecule: long non-coding RNA, 3017 nt
Filed under: Sus scrofa (pig)
Lineage: Eukaryota; Metazoa; Chordata; Mammalia; Artiodactyla; Suidae
Description: lncRNA (ENSSSCG00060055128.1)
Source: RNAcentral